CCGCAGCCGGCGGCCAAGAGGCUGCGCGUCGCCUACUGGCCAGGUGGCGUUCCGACGCUCGACAUGGUGCCCUACCUCCACCGGCAGCCGGCCGUCAUGUAGCUGCUCCCGGCUGCGUCGCGGCGGGCGGCGCCACUCUCGGCUGUGCGGCGCCGGUCUCCGGAGUUCGGAGACCUCGCCUCAUGUCGCGGAGAUCUCCGAGGAUCCCGACCAAGGAGCGGGGUGUGGCUGCGAAGCGUCUCGCCGGAGACGCCCGCGCUGUCUCGCUCGAGAACGAGCGACCGUCUCGGGGGAUCUCCGCGACGCGAAUGGGCAUACCGGGGGCCAGGCUCGGCCCGCCGAUAGAAACCAGUCUUCUGUGAUUACUCCCGUGUACUGCGUCUGCAUGUGACGCCGUUGUGGCUUUCAUAAUGUGAUGGUAAGGAGGACGAAGCCGAGUUAGCUUUAAUUCGUUUACCGUUGAUUUGGUGUUUGCGUUGCGUUACUUUUGCCAGGCAGCGUCCCACUGACGCCUAGCCGGCUGGACACCGGACUCGUUUGUUUUCAACCUUGUUAUCUCAUGGUGUAAUGAACGUAUAUCAAUGAGGCGACGUCCUCUGAUAAAUAUAGACCCCGUGUCAUUACUCUGAC
Long non-coding RNA from Pollicipes pollicipes, 630 nucleotides. RefSeq lists it as uncharacterized. The record is from RefSeq and is a predicted model, not a curated record. The transcript has 2 exons. Lineage: Eukaryota; Metazoa; Arthropoda; Thecostraca; Pollicipedomorpha; Pollicipedidae.